Molecule: unclassified non-coding RNA, 187 nt
Filed under: uncultured fungus
Lineage: Eukaryota; Fungi
Description: sequence contains ITS1
Source: RNAcentral
UUAACUCUGCGCUGUGACUCAGAAGGACGGGUUACGCUGGAGCUUUCGCUGAGCCGCCGGCGGGCGCUGUGACGCCAGACCCCCUCCCAGGGGGGCCCGCCGAGGCAACUGUUUCGGGGUAUGUUCGCAGUGGGUGUGGGAGCUGUAGUGCUCUAUAAUGAUCCCUCCGCUGGUUCACCAACGGAGA